CCUACGGGAGGCAGCAGUGAGGAAUAUUGGUCAAUGGACGAGAGUCUGAACCAGCCAAGUAGCGUGAAGGAUGACUGCCCUAUGGGUUGUAAACUUCUUUUAUAUGGGAAUAAAAUGUUCCACGUGUGGGAUUUUGUAUGUACCAUAUGAAAAAGGAUCGGCUAACUCCGUGCCAGCAGCCGCGGUAAUACGGAGGAUCCGAGCGUUAUCCGGAUUUAUUGGGUUUAAAGGGAGCGUAGGUGGAUUGUUAAGUCAGUUGUGAAAGUUUGGGGCUCAACCGUAAAAUUGCAGUUGAAACUGGCAGUCUUGAGUACAGUAGAGGUGGGCGGAAUGCGUGGUGUAGCGGUGAAAUGCUUAGAUAUCACGAAGAACUCCGAUUGCGAAGGCAGUUCACUGGACUGCAACUGACACUGAGGCUCGAAAGUGUGGGUAUCAAACAGGAUUAGAUACCCGAGUAGUC
This 460-nucleotide ribosomal RNA is filed under the name uncultured bacterium. RNAcentral's name for it is "partial 16S ribosomal RNA". It matches the Rfam family "Bacterial small subunit ribosomal RNA", at positions 338 to 795 of the family's 1533-position model. The record is from RNAcentral.